GUUGCGGUUAAAAAGCUCGUAGUUGGAUUUCUGUUGAGGAUGGGCGGUCUCUACUCUCGUAGAUGCAUUUGUCACAGCCUCGGCAUCCUCUUGAAGAACGGUUCUGUGAUUCAUUUCGUGGUCCGGAAUUCAAGACUUUUACUUUGAGGAAAUUAGAGUGUUCACGGCAAGCAAUCGCUUUGAAUACAUUAGCAUGGAAUAAUAAUAUAGGACCUUGGUACUAUUUUGUUGGUUUCUAGAACUAAGGUAAUGAUUAAUAGGGAUAAUUGGGGGCAUUCGUAUUAACGCGUCAGAGGUGGAAUUCUUGGAUUGCGUUACGACGAACUACUGCGAAAGCAUUUGCCAAGGAUGUUUUCAUUGAUCAAGAACGAAAGUAUGGGGAUCGAAGACGAUUAGAUACCGUCAUAGUCUAUACCAUAAACUAUGCCAACUAGAGAUUGGAGGUCGUUAAUACUAUGACUCCUUCAGCACCUUAUGAGAAAUCAAAGUCUUUGGGUUCCGGGGGGAGUAUGGUCGCAAGGCUGAAACUUAAAGGAAUUGACGGAAGGGCACCACCAGGAGUGGAGCCUGCGGCUUAAUUUGACUCAACACGGGAAAACUUACCAGGUUCCAGACAUAGGUAA
Molecule: ribosomal RNA, 623 nt
Filed under: uncultured marine eukaryote
Lineage: Eukaryota
Description: SSU rRNA
Rfam family: Eukaryotic small subunit ribosomal RNA
Source: RNAcentral